Molecule: ribosomal RNA, 497 nt
Filed under: uncultured bacterium
Lineage: Bacteria
Description: partial 16S ribosomal RNA
Rfam family: Bacterial small subunit ribosomal RNA
Source: RNAcentral
GAUGAACGCUGGCGGCGUGCCUAAUACAUGCAAGUCGAGCGAACGGACGAGAAGCUUGCUUCUCUGAUGUUAGCGGCGGACGGGUGAGUAACACGUGGAUAACCUACCUAUAAGACUGGGAUAACUUCGGGAAACCGUAGCUAAUACCGGAUAAUAUUUUGAACCGCAUGGUUCAAAAGUGAAAGACGGUCUUGCUGUCACUUAUAGAUGGAUCCGCGCUGCAUUAGCUAGUUGCUAAGGUAACGGCUUACCAAGGCAACGAUGCAUAGCCGAACUGAGAGGAUGAUCGGCCACACUGGAACUGAGACACGGUCCAGACUCCUACGGGAGGCAGCAGUAGGGAAUCUUCCACAAUGGGCGAAAGCCUGACGGAGCAACGCCGCGUGAGUGAUGAAGGUCUUCGGAUCGUAAAACUCUGUUAGUAGGGAAGAACAUAUGUGUAAGUAACUGUGCACAUCUUGACGGUACCUAAUCAGAAAGCCACGGCUAACUACGUG